Molecule: unclassified non-coding RNA, 248 nt
Filed under: uncultured fungus
Lineage: Eukaryota; Fungi
Description: sequence contains ITS1
Source: RNAcentral
UGCAUUGAGUGCGACCCUCGAACAAGUCGAAGUCGCUCGCAGAGCGCAGAGUGCUUUCAUGCUUGACAAGAGAAGGGUAUCUCUCGCAUUAAGAUUUGGGUGAGGAGAUAAAGAGACACUGAAACAAGCAUGCCGACUGGAGAGCCAGCCGGCGCCAGUUGCGUUCAAAAAUCUGAUGACUCACGGUUCUGCAAUUCGCAUUGCUUAUCGCACUUCGCUGCGUUCUUCAUCGAUGCGUCCUUGAUAGG